CAGCAGCCGCGGGAAUACGAACCGUGCGAACGUUAUUCGGAAUCACUGGGCUUAAAGCGCGUGUAGGUGGGUGGGUACGUCCGUCGUCGAAAGCCCCCGGCUCAACCGGGGAACUGGCGCGGAUACGGCCUACCUGGAGGGACGUAGGGGGACCUGGAACUUCCGGUGGAGCGGUGAAAUGCGUUGAGAUGUGGAGGAACACCAGUGGCGAAGGCGACUCUCUGGUCUGUAACUGACGCUGAGGAGCGAAAGCGUGGGGAGCGAACAGGAUUAGAUACCCGAGUAGUCCCUGUCUCUUAUA
This 301-nucleotide ribosomal RNA is filed under the name uncultured bacterium. RNAcentral describes it as "partial 16S ribosomal RNA". It matches the Rfam family "Bacterial small subunit ribosomal RNA", at positions 509 to 808 of the family's 1533-position model. The record is from RNAcentral.